UACAAAGCAAAAACAGCCCUCUUUCCCCAUUAUCCCUUACUGUCAUCAAGCUUGACAGCUGAUACUUGGCCAGGAUGCUAACAAACAGUGCAGCUCUAAAAGGAAUAGCAAGAUUAUUUCCAGCCUAAAUGGCAAGCUUUGCCAGGACAAAGCCACUAUUAGAGCUGUUAGAACUUGCAAACUUUGGUUUCCCUAUAAAGGUAAGAUGGUAGAAGGUGCAACCUUCAGCAUGCAUAUCUCUGAAACAUUCAACCAGCCAGCCUUCUCUCCCACCGUGGCUCUUCUGGAUUAAAUGAGACUAGAAUGCCUUCCAGGACGAAACAAGUAGAUGCAAGAAGAAAGGCAGAGUGCAUCAUGUGCCAAUCAUUCUGGCUGACGCAGCAACUUUAUGGGAACUUACUUCUCCCACUUCAUUUUCCAUUAUUGGUAUCUGAAAAGGCAGAGGAAAGAUAUCCAGGCUGUGCAAAUGAGAGCAUUGGGGGCACCUGUGAUUCCAGUUCACUGUCAGUUUUGUGUGCAUUUCUACUCCCAAGUAGCUGCCUAACUAAUCUGAUGUAAAUUAAUUUUUUACCCAUUAAAAUGUUGGUGUAAUAUUUAAA
Molecule: long non-coding RNA, 599 nt
Organism: Corvus hawaiiensis (hawaiian crow)
Lineage: Eukaryota; Metazoa; Chordata; Aves; Passeriformes; Corvidae
Exons: 3
Source: RefSeq, a predicted model, not a curated record